Molecule: long non-coding RNA, 1171 nt
Organism: Gadus chalcogrammus (walleye pollock)
Lineage: Eukaryota; Metazoa; Chordata; Actinopteri; Gadiformes; Gadidae
Exons: 5
Source: RefSeq, a predicted model, not a curated record
UUUCAGUCACUUACCGGUGAAGGCAGCGCUCUCGCGUCCUCUCCCGGUAACACUGCUGUAUAUUUGAGUGUGUAAUUAUUUUCAGUCACUUGCUGGUGAAGACUGCGCUCUCGCGUCCUCUCCCGGUAACACUGUCUUGUGUUUUCUCAAGUUAGUAGCUUACUGGUGAAGGCAGUGCUCCCUCUCCCAGUGUUCUGCUGAUGGCUCAUAUGUGUGGCGCCUGUGUGGCCCUCCUUGAGCCUGACGAUGGCCAUGAUCGCUGCCCCUCUUGCCUCGGCUUCGAGCAUUUGAGGGAGGGCCUUACCGAGAGGGCCUGUAUGAACUGCGGCUCCAUGCCCUCGGCACUCAGGCUGGCUAGGCUCGCAGCGGUGGAACAUCCGGCAGCCGUCGACCUUCCAUCAAUGGCGCCACUUCCUCCAGCUCAGCCCGGCCGUUCCUGGCGUUGGGGUAGAGCAGUGCCCCCCCCCAGGAAAAGGGCUAGGGACGAGCAAGCAUCCAAGGUGGAUCGCUUGUCGUCCGACAUGGUUAUAUUUUCUUAGUGAUAAUAGUGAUAGCCCUUGCUGUGCUUUGCUGGAUCCUCAUUUCUCUCAGAAGAAAAUCCAGGUGGUAUUCCUUUGACUUCAAGUACCCUGUACUCCUGACGGACCCUCCUGGGACCUUUGAGACCGUCAACAUGGACGGACUGAAUACUGUUGACCUUUCACCUUUGCCAGCAUCCAAUGGGGAGCGUCUCCUGGACCAGGAGGUGCUCCUGCCCUCUAGCGGCUUCCUCCCAUUUGACACUGAGCAGACUGACAGGAAGUGGGACCAAUCAGACGGAGUGUCACUUCAUAUAACAGAGGAAGAGCCGGAGAACAGCACUGCACUGUCCUGUGGUUCUACUGCACCCUAGUACUGUUACCCCGUCUCCUCCCCUCCUCUUCUCCAGGACUCCUUUCUCCUCCUUCUCUCCUCUCCUCCAGUAACCCGUCUCCUCUUCUCCAGGACUCCUUUCUCCUCCUUCUCUCCCCUCCUCUUCUCCAGGACUCCUUUCUCCUCCUUCUCUCCUCUCCUCCAGUACCCCGCCUCUUCUCCUCCUCCUUCUCAGGCUCAGACAGAAGAUAGUGGUGGAGAAACGAGACUUAAACAAACUUAAACAAAAAUACUUCAAACUGUCAAAUAUGAAAUAAAA